RNAcentral lists this ribosomal RNA (492 nucleotides) under Peptostreptococcaceae bacterium canine oral taxon 019. Its description in RNAcentral is "bacterial SSU rRNA". It matches the Rfam family "Bacterial small subunit ribosomal RNA", at positions 9 to 497 of the family's 1533-position model. The record is from RNAcentral. Lineage: Bacteria; Bacillati; Bacillota; Clostridia; Peptostreptococcales; Peptostreptococcaceae.
GAGUUUGAUUCUGGCUCAGGAUGAACGCUGGCGGCGUGCCUAAUACAUGCAAGUCGAGCGAGAACUUAUUAAAUGGAGACUUCGGUCAAAGUGAGAUAAGGGAAAGCGGCGGACGGGUGAGUAAUGCGUGGGAAACCUGCCCUUUAGAGGGGGAUAGCAGUUGGAAACGACUAUUAAUACCCCAUACUCUUGAGUUUUCGCAUGAAGAUUCAAGGAAAGAUUUUAUCGCUAAAGGAUGGUCCCACGUCUGAUUAGCUAGUUGGUGAGGUAACGGCUCACCAAGGCGACGAUCAGUAGCCGACCUGAGAGGGUGAUCGGCCACACUGGAACUGAGACACGGUCCAGACUCCUACGGGAGGCAGCAGUAGGGAAUAUUGGGCAAUGGGGGCAACCCUGACCCAGCAACGCCGCGUGAAUGAUGAAGGUCUUCGGAUCGUAAAAUUCUUUUCUUGGGGAAGAACAAGGUGACGUACCCAAGGAAUAAGCACCGCA